GCCUUCGUGGUGUAAUGGUCAGCACGCUCGACGCGUAUUCGAGAGGCACGUGGUUCGACUCCCGGCGAGAGCA
RNAcentral lists this transfer RNA (73 nucleotides) under Stegodyphus mimosarum. It matches the Rfam family "tRNA". Rfam says of the family: Transfer RNA (tRNA) molecules are approximately 80 nucleotides in length. Their secondary structure includes four short double-helical elements and three loops (D, anti-codon, and T loops). Further hydrogen bonds mediate the characteristic L-shaped molecular structure. tRNAs have two regions of fundamental functional importance: the anti-codon, which is responsible for specific mRNA codon recognition, and the 3' end, to which the tRNAs corresponding amino acid is attached (by aminoacyl-tRNA synthetases). tRNAs cope with the degeneracy of the genetic code in two manners: having more than one tRNA (with a specific anti-codon) for a particular amino acid; and 'wobble' base-pairing, i.e. permitting non-standard base-pairing at the 3rd anti-codon position. The record is from Rfam by way of RNAcentral. Lineage: Eukaryota; Metazoa; Arthropoda; Arachnida; Araneae; Eresidae.